RNAcentral lists this ribosomal RNA (995 nucleotides) under synthetic metagenome. RNAcentral's name for it is "bacterial LSU rRNA". It matches the Rfam family "Bacterial large subunit ribosomal RNA", at positions 1919 to 2925 of the family's 2925-position model. The record is from RNAcentral.
CCCAGUAAACGGCGGCCGUAACUAUAACGGUCCUAAGGUAGCGAAAUUCCUUGUCGGGUAAGUUCCGACCUGCACGAAUGGCGUAACGAUCUCCCCGCUGUCUCUGAUGUGGACUCAGCGAAAUUGAACUGUGUGUCAAGAUGCACACUUCCCGCGGUUAGACGGAAAGACCCCAUGAACCUUUACUAUAGCUUCGCACUGGCAUCAGGAUUGUGAUGUGCAGGAUAGGUGGUAGGCAUCGAAGCGGGGACGCCAGUUCCCGUGGAGCCAACCUUGAGAUACCACCCUUCGCCAUCUUGAUGUCUAACCGCGGCCCGUUAUCCGGGUCCGGGACCCUGCGUGGUGGGUAGUUUGACUGGGGCGGUCGCCUCCCAAACAGUAACGGAGGCGCGCGAUGGUGGGCUCAGACCGGUCGGAAAUCGGUCGUCGAGUGCAAUGGCAGAAGCCCGCCUGACUGCAAGACUGACAAGUCGAGCAGAGACGAAAGUCGGCCAUAGUGAUCCGGUGGUCCCGAGUGGAAGGGCCAUCGCUCAACGGAUAAAAGGUACUCUGGGGAUAACAGGCUGAUGAUGCCCAAGAGUCCAUAUCGACGGCAUCGUUUGGCACCUCGAUGUCGGCUCAUCUCAUCCUGGGGCUGGAGCAGGUCCCAAGGGUAUGGCUGUUCGCCAUUUAAAGAGGUACGUGAGCUGGGUUUAGAACGUCGUGAGACAGUUCGGUCCCUAUCUGCCGUGGGUGUAGGAGACUUGAGAAGAGUUGCCCCUAGUACGAGAGGACCGGGGUGAACGAUCCACUGGUGGACCAGUUGUCGUGCCAACGGCAGUGCUGGGUAGCUAUGAUCGGACAGGAUAACCGCUGAAGGCAUCUAAGCGGGAAGCCCCCUUCAAAACAAGGUCUCCCUUGAGGGCCGUGGAAGACCACCACGUCGAUAGGCCAGAGGUGUAAGCGCAGCAAUGCGUUCAGCUGACUGGUACUAAUUGCCCGAUAGGCUUGAUCUG